ACAGUUCAUCGAAUGGGGACACAACACAAUAAUUUAAACAGUACAAGUUCAAAAAAAAAUUGUAAAAUAAAAAAUCUCGUUGUAAGAAAAGCCCAAGAGAAAGCCAAUGGACUCGAAGUAAAAAUCAGAAUUUAAACUAAAAGAAAUUUAGUGAUAUGUUAAACAAAACAGUGAUGUGUGUGUUGGGAGAGAGGAAAUUAUUUCUUCUUCUUCUUUUUUUUUUU
RNAcentral lists this long non-coding RNA (224 nucleotides) under Lathyrus oleraceus (garden pea). RNAcentral describes it as "Pisum sativum (pea) long non-coding RNA (PSAT_LNC027863)". The record is from RNAcentral. Lineage: Eukaryota; Viridiplantae; Streptophyta; Magnoliopsida; Fabales; Fabaceae.